RNAcentral lists this ribosomal RNA (468 nucleotides) under uncultured bacterium. Its description in RNAcentral is "partial 16S ribosomal RNA". It matches the Rfam family "Bacterial small subunit ribosomal RNA", at positions 28 to 507 of the family's 1533-position model. The record is from RNAcentral.
GACGAACGCUGGCGGCGUGCUUAACACAUGCAAGUCGAACGGAAAGGCCCUGCUUUUGUGGGGUGCUCGAGUGGCGAACGGGUGAGUAACACGUGAGUAACCUGCCCUUGACUUUGGGAUAACUUCGGGAAACUGGGGCUAAUACCGGAUAGGAGCUCCUGCUGCAUGGUGGGGGUUGGAAAGUUUCGGCGGUUGGGGAUGGACUCGCGGCUUAUCAGCUUGUUGGUGGGGUAGUGGCUUACCAAGGCUUUGACGGGUAGCCGGCCUGAGAGGGUGACCGGCCACACUGGGACUGAGAUACGGCCCAGACUCCUACGGGAGGCAGCAGUGGGGAAUAUUGCACAAUGGGCGGAAGCCUGAUGCAGCAACGCCGCGUGCGGGAUGACGGCCUUCGGGUUGUAAACCGCUUUCGCCUGUGACGAAGCGUGAGUGACGGUAAUGGGUAAAGAAGCACCGGCUAACUACGUG